RNAcentral lists this long non-coding RNA (1660 nucleotides) under Equus caballus (horse). RNAcentral's name for it is "lncRNA (ENSECAG00000051164.1)". The record is from RNAcentral. Lineage: Eukaryota; Metazoa; Chordata; Mammalia; Perissodactyla; Equidae.
UUUGUCAGUGAAAGGAGAGGAACUUUAUUUAGAGACCUGAGGCAGAGAGGAAAAAUCAAUGAUGAUUAUGGUGGUCUUGGGCCUGCACCAAAAGAGGUUUUUCUUUUCACUGGCCAUGGAAGAAAACACGAUGUGGAAAAACAUGGAUUCAAGCAGCGGCUUCAACCAGAGCACUGACAUUUGCUGCUGACUAAAGAGACAAGAAUGAGAAAGUGUAAGAUUUAUGCUCAGGAGACUCAUGUGCUUUUCGUAUAGGGACCUCCCUGGCUCAGUUUCCCAGAGGUUCCAUCAAACAUAAGGUUUCAAAGAGUUUGAGAAACACACCUUCAAAAAGGUAGGUCCAAGGGCUAUGUCAACCUCUCUUCUGAAUGCACAAGAUUAGAAGGAGGCUCUCCAGCAUCAAGAAGACAAGUGAUGAACACAGAAAAUCUAGUUCUUUGCAGGAUUGGUGGGGAAGUGGGGGAAGAGCUGGUUUCUUGGGGGGAAGGAGGGAGUGCUAGGGAAAAGUGAGAGACAGUCUCUGGAAGGUGAAUGGAGAGCUGUGCUUUGACAAAGGUGUGACAUUUUGGAACAUUUGCCAAGCUAGGAUGACAAUUCCUCAGGUCUGAGAGUCUCUUGUAAUCAGAAAAUGUCAUCAAUACCUUGUCUUCCUGUUCCUGUUCUGGCAUAACUUCUUUGCUUUUUGUGUCUUUGGUAAAUCCUUCAGAUGGCAUGUUGAACACUUACAUCUAAGGGAUUUCACCAUCUUCUCACAUCCCCCAACUCUGGCCAGGAGCGGGGUUCUUGCUGUAACAGCAGCCUCUUUUGGUUCCCCCUCCCUCACUCCAAGUCCAUUUGUCCAAAGCAGCCCACUCAUACUCCCUUUAUAUAUGAAGACAGGUGGCCAUGACAUAGGCCCUCUUGCUAAAAGGACCUGAUGAUUGACGAUAACAUGUCAUAAUGGCUGAAAGUCAACAUGAGAGCCUGGUUGGGUGGUUGGGGAAUACUGAGACAUUUGAAUAAAAUCAAGAAAGCACUUACUAAAACUGCUAGAAUCUAGGUGGCUGCCCAACUGUAUAGCCCACAGGAACCACUCUGAACGAUACAAACCAAGUAAAAUUCUCCUGGCCUUUCAGGCAUAAGUCCAGCAUCUUCAAAGCCUUUACCUGCUGGCAUAUUUAGGAACCUAAUCGUCAAGUGCUCCACGGGGUCAGGAAAGGUGAGGACUGAAAAACAAGUUUCUUUACAGGUGGCCCCCCACCCCCAUCCCCGUCUCAAGGCUCAGAAUACCAUCUUCAGGUAAAUGACCGGAAAGCCCGCAUGAAGCUUCUAACAUCUACCAGACUAAGUGCAACCACACCAGCAUACAGCAGCGAUGCCCCUCCCCCGGACUCGGUGGGCUUCCUGCAGGAGCAUCAGAGAAAGAAGAGCACCCCCAAGAAGAGCACAGAGCAGAAGGAGGCUUGCAAUGGCAUGAAGAAAAUGCCACUAUCACUAUUUCAGGACAGUGGUCCACUGAGGAAACAAAUAUUUCUGCCUGGUGACACAGUCCUUACCAGUACUCCAGGACAUCUCAGUGGCAUUACCUUCCGCAUUUCCCCCCAAAACAAAAAUAAGGCUGCCCAGUAUUGGGAGUUGCUUGACCAAUAAAAUCUUAUCACUGCAACACUCAAAGGAUCUG